UUAAGCGACUAAGCGUACACGGUGGAUGCCCUGGCAGUCAGAGGCGAUGAAGGACGUGCUAAUCUGCGAAAAGCGUCGGUAAGGUGAUAUGAACCGUUAUAACCGGCGAUGUCCGAAUGGGGAAACCCAGUGCAAUUCGUUGCACUAUCGUUAACUGAAUACAUAGGUUAACGAGGCGAACCGGGGGAACUGAAACAUCUAAGUACCCCGAGGAAAAGAAAUCAACCGAGAUUCCCCCAGUAGCGGCGAGCGAACGGGGAGCAGCCCAGAGUCUGAAUCAGCUUGUGUGUUAGUGGAACGGUCUGGAAAGUCCGACGGUACAGGGUGAUAGUCCCGUACACCAAAAUGCACAGGUUGUGAACUCGAAGAGUAGGGCGGGACACGUGGUAUCCUGUCUGAAUAUGGGGGGACCAUCCUCCAAGGCUAAAUACUCCUGACUGACCGAUAGUGAACCAGUACCGUGAGGGAAAGGCGAAAAGAACCCCGGCGAGGGGAGUGAAAAAGAACCUGAAACCGUGUACGUACAAGCAGUGGGAGCACCUUCGGGUGUGACUGCGUACCUUUUGUAUAAUGGGUCAGCGACUUAUAUUCUGUAGCAAGGUUAACCGUAUAGGGGAGCCGCAGGGAAACCGAGUCUUAACUGGGCGUUAAGUUGCAGGGUAUAGACCCGAAACCCGGUGAUCUAGCCAUGGGCAGGUUGAAGGUUGGGUAACACUAACUGGAGGACCGAACCGACUAAUGUUGAAAAAUUAGCGGAUGACUUGUGGCUGGGGGUGAAAGGCCAAUCAAACCGGGAGAUAGCUGGUUCUCCCCGAAAGCUAUUUAGGUAGCGCCUCGUGAACUCAUCUUCGGGGGUAGAGCACUGUUUCGGCUAGGGGGUCAUCCCGACUUACCAACCCGAUGCAAACUACGAAUACCGAAGAAUGUUAUCACGGGAGACACACGGCGGGUGCUAACGUCCGUCGUGAAGAGGGAAACAACCCAGACCGCCAGCUAAGGUCCCAAAGUCAUGGUUAAGUGGGAAACGAUGUGGGAAGGCACAGACAGCCAGGAUGUUGGCUUAGAAGCAGCCAUCAUUUAAAGAAAGCGUAAUAGCUCACUGGUCGAGUCGGCCUGCGCGGAAGAUGUAACGGGGCUAAACCAUGCACCGAAGCUGCGGCAGCGACACUAAGUGUUGUUGGGUAGGGGAGCGUUCUGUAAGCCUGCGAAGGUGGCCUGUGAGGGCUGCUGGAGGUAUCAGAAGUGCGAAUGCUGACAUAAGUAACGAUAAAGCGGGUGAAAAGCCCGCUCGCCGGAAGACCAAGGGUUCCUGUCCAACGUUAAUCGGGGCAGGGUGAGUCGACCCCUAAGGCGAGGCCGAAAGGCGUAGUCGAUGGGAAACAGGUUAAUAUUCCUGUACUUGGUGUUACUGCGAAGGGGGGACGGAGAAGGCUAUGUUAGCCGGGCGACGGUUGUCCCGGUUUAAGCAUGUAGGCUGGUUAUCCAGGCAAAUCCGGAUAAUCAAGGCUGAGGUGUGAUGACGAGGCACUACGGUGCUGAAGUAACAAAUGCCCUGCUUCCAGGAAAAGCCUCUAAGCAUCAGGUAACAUCAAAUCGUACCCCAAACCGACACAGGUGGUCAGGUAGAGAAUACCAAGGCGCUUGAGAGAACUCGGGUGAAGGAACUAGGCAAAAUGGUGCCGUAACUUCGGGAGAAGGCACGCUGGUGUGUAGGUGAAGUCCCUGCGGAUGGAGCUGAGACCAGUCGAAGAUACCAGCUGGCUGCAACUGUUUAUUAAAAACACAGCACUGUGCAAACACGAAAGUGGACGUAUACGGUGUGACGCCUGCCCGGUGCCGGAAGGUUAAUUGAUGGGGUUAUCCGUAAGGAGAAGCUCUUGAUCGAAGCCCCGGUAAACGGCGGCCGUAACUAUAACGGUCCUAAGGUAGCGAAAUUCCUUGUCGGGUAAGUUCCGACCUGCACGAAUGGCGUAAUGAUGGCCAGGCUGUCUCCACCCGAGACUCAGUGAAAUUGAACUCGCUGUGAAGAUGCAGUGUACCCGCGGCAAGACGGAAAGACCCCGUGAACCUUUACUAUAGCUUGACACUGAACAUUGAGCCUUGAUGUGUAGGAUAGGUGGGAGGCUUUGAAGCGUGGACGCCAGUCUGCGUGGAGCCAACCUUGAAAUACCACCCUUUAAUGUUUGAUGUUCUAACGUUGGCCCCUUACCGGGGUUGCGGACAGUGUCUGGUGGGUAGUUUGACUGGGGCGGUCUCCUCCCAAAGCGUAACGGAGGAGCACGAAGGUUAGCUAAUCCUGGUCGGACAUCAGGAGGUUAGUGCAAUGGCAUAAGCUAGCUUGACUGCGAGCGUGACGGCGCGAGCAGGUGCGAAAGCAGGUCAUAGUGAUCCGGUGGUUCUGAAUGGAAGGGCCAUCGCUCAACGGAUAAAAGGUACUCCGGGGAUAACAGGCUGAUACCGCCCAAGAGUUCAUAUCGACGGCGGUGUUUGGCACCUCGAUGUCGGCUCAUCACAUCCUGGGGCUGAAGUAGGUCCCAAGGGUAUGGCUGUUCGCCAUUUAAAGUGGUACGCGAGCUGGGUUUAGAACGUCGUGAGACAGUUCGGUCCCUAUCUGCCGUGGGCGCUGGAGAAUUGAGGGGGGCUGCUCCUAGUACGAGAGGACCGGAGUGGACGCAUCACUGGUGUUCGGGUUGUCAUGCCAAUGGCACUGCCCGGUAGCUAAAUGCGGAAGAGAUAAGUGCUGAAAGCAUCUAAGCACGAAACUUGCCCCGAGAUGAGUUCUCCCUGAGACUUUAAGUCUCCUGAAGGAACGUUAAAGACGAUGACGUUGAUAGGCCGGGUGUGUAAGCGCAGCGAUGCGUUGAGCUAACCGGUACUAAUGAACCGUGAGGCUUAACCUU
This 2900-nucleotide ribosomal RNA is filed under the name Klebsiella pneumoniae UCI 25. Its description in RNAcentral is "bacterial LSU rRNA". It matches the Rfam family "Bacterial large subunit ribosomal RNA". Lineage: Bacteria; Pseudomonadati; Pseudomonadota; Gammaproteobacteria; Enterobacterales; Enterobacteriaceae. The record is from RNAcentral.